Molecule: long non-coding RNA, 664 nt
Filed under: Parus major (Great Tit)
Lineage: Eukaryota; Metazoa; Chordata; Aves; Passeriformes; Paridae
Description: lncRNA (ENSPMJG00000017689.1)
Source: RNAcentral
CUUCAUUAAUGCAUUUCAAAUGCUUUCUUUGCAGAAUUUGGAAACUGAUUUAGGAGAGACGAGGAAAAAAAUAAAAAGUUUACACAGUAUAUGCAGUAACUUCAGGUAGAUGUGAAACAGGAAGAACUUUUCCAAAAUGAUUGUGAUGCAGUUGGAGCUAAGUUAUUCUUUGCUGUGAGCUGAAAAACAUUUUGUAGUAUUUAUGCCAUUUCCAUGAGAAGUCAUAAUCUAUAGGACCUGUCACUGUGCUGUAUUUUCAGACUACAGGAAGGAGUUAGAGGAGCCACAGAAUCUUUACAGACAAAACAUUGAAGAUACAACACAGCAGGCUGAGCUGAUAAAGCAGCUAGAGGCUCUCAAUGCUGAUACACAAAAAGUACUGCAAGACCAAGAAUAUGCUCACACAGCUAAAACAACAUAUCAAAAAUCUCAAGAAUCUUAUGAGCUAAGAGCAGCCUAUGGAAAACACGAAGAGAGGCUGCAGAUGUUACAGACCAACUACAGAGCACUAAAAGAGCAAUUAAAGCAGUGGGAAGAGGGUGAUAGCAGGUAAGUUACAUAGCUCAUUAAAAACAUUUUCCUUACACAAGAAAUCUUAAUAGAAGUAUUACAUAGGUAUUCAAAAGAGAAUGUAAUUUGAAGGAAGGAGCUACUGUGUGGUGAU